Long non-coding RNA from Bos taurus (domestic cattle), 397 nucleotides. The record is from Ensembl. Lineage: Eukaryota; Metazoa; Chordata; Mammalia; Artiodactyla; Bovidae.
GGAAGCAGCUCAGGGACUUGUUUUCCAGUCUCCUGGCUUGAUUGCUUUGUCAAUAUACCCCUUCUCAGCUGCAAGAAUCCUGAAGUGGGUUGCCAUUCCCUUCUCCAGGGGAUCUUGCUGACCCAGGAAUCGAACCGAGGUCUCCUGCAUUGCAGGCAGAUUCUUUACCAUCUGAGCCACCAGGGAAGCCCCAUGUGAUACUGUAGCUCUCCUGUUUUGGUUCCUCUGGUAUACUGCCAAAUAGAGAAUGUAAUGGUCCCUUUAAAAAAUAGCAAAGGAAACAUGGUCAAAAGCAUUCUCAAGGCCAUGUGGAGACCUCAGCAGAUGAUGCAGUGACUCUACCCAGAACUUUUUGUUGUUGUUCAGUCGCUCAGUCAUGUCUGACUCUUCUUGACCC